Bufo bufo (common toad) is the source of this 248-nucleotide long non-coding RNA. RefSeq lists it as uncharacterized. The record is from RefSeq and is a predicted model, not a curated record. The transcript has 3 exons. NCBI's taxonomy places the organism in Eukaryota, Metazoa, Chordata, Amphibia, Anura, Bufonidae.
ACAAUUUGAGUAAAGCUAGUUUCACACUAGCGGCAGGGGAGUCUGUCAGGCUGUUCCGGCAGGUGAACAGCCUGACGGAUCCGUCCUGCACCUAGUUCACGUGUACCCCUGGACUGCUGCUCUGUCCCCACCAUUGACUAGAAUGGGGCGGGAGCGGAGUUCUGGCGGAAGCACAGCAGUGCGCGGCGAGAGGCAGCCGGACUAAAAGUACGACAUGCAGUACUUUUAGUCCGGCUGCCUCUUGCCGU